Molecule: small RNA, 3644 nt
Filed under: Rattus norvegicus (Norway rat)
Lineage: Eukaryota; Metazoa; Chordata; Mammalia; Rodentia; Muridae
Description: uncharacterized LOC102553985
Source: RNAcentral
UGAGGGCUUCUUCGAGGGAACGCACGUACUGUUUUAUGCUUUGCUGUGUCAAAACACCUGACAAGGACAGCCUAAGGAAGGGAGGUUUGCUUAGCUCAUAGUUUGAGCAUCCAUGGAAGAGAAGCCAGGCAGUGGUAAUAGGAGGCAGCUGGCAAUAUCAUAUUUACAGGAAGCAGACAAAAGUGAAUGUUUGUGCUUAGUUCCUGUUCCAUUUAAUAUUCAGUCCCAGACCCCAGUCCAGGGGAAUGGGGGCGGGGAGUCAAACAUUUAGAGAUCUUACCAUCUCAGCUAACCCAAACGAGAUACUUCCUCAUAGACAUGCCCAGAGGUUUGCCGCCUGAGUCAUUCUAGAUCCUACUGAAGUGACAAUAUUAGUCAUCACAAGGUACUUCUCCUUCCUACCGAAAGGAAAAGUCCCCUACUUGAAAAGAUAUAUAGCUCAGGACCACUGUCACUGCUCUGGGGCCAGGCAACCCCAUGACAGAGUCAAAACAAGGAUGGCAUAGCCAGAGAAAAUCAAACAAAACAAAACUGGAGGCCUUGGAGAUUCUGGAUCAGACACAGCCUGAAACUCACUCAGUGUAGUUCGAAAUUCCACCAACUUCUCCUUUAAGAUGAAUGGAGUUCAAGUUUCCAUGCCUGAGAGCCAAAGGUAUCAGCAUGAAAAACUUCAGUGCUUAGAAAACAUUUUAAGUCAGACCAAUUGCAAAAAUGUCCCAGAGAAAUCUGGCCCCAAAGUGGUUUUUUCUGUUGUUGCUGCUGUUGUUUUUGUUUGUUUUCCAGUAGGGCCACCUCCCAAGUUCUGGGAUGUACAGGCAUGCACCAGCAUGGCCAGGUUCAAACCUAAACUCUAAACCACAAACGAUUGCUUUCAUAUCUUUCAAAAAAGGGAAGCUUCUUGUUUCCUCCGGCUUUUGCUAGUUGAUGUUUGGCCUCUUUCCCCUGGGACUUCUCCUGCUUUCUAUGGAUACUCCCUUAAGCACCCUUCUCCACAGAUCCACGGAGCUGCCAAAUGGUACUCUAAUGGUUUGGGCUCAUGAGAAUAAACUGUUCUAUUGGUCUUCAGAUAUGAACUAUUAGGAGAAUUCAAAACCCAGCAUCCAGUCAGGUGGCCUCAGUGUUUGCCUGCUGUACUUAGCAGCAGUCUUUCCUGGAACCCUGCUGACAUCACAGAAAAUACUGUCUAGUCACUGACUUUGCCCAGCAUGGCAGUCAAAGCAAACAGUGUGGCAAUGUCCUUGUAAUGACACCGUUUACAGCAUGCUUGCCAAGAGAGUGAGGAAGUGAUCACCCAGGGACCACAGCAUUAUCAAAGCGCCUGCUCAAAGCACCGGCUCGGUGCCAUCGGUGCCAAUUCAGAACCACUCCCUCUCCUCUCAAAGUCCACAUGGAAAAGGCCCAAACAGAUCCACCACCCUCCACCAUCCCCAAGUUGCUCUCUGCUCCCGUUACUCAGCCAAAUCCAUAGAACAUGUAUGUCUUCAGGUGGAACUGCAGAUGCGAUCUAAUAAGAGAGAAAGGGAGGGAUGAUGGGAAAGAAGAAGAAUGGAGCAGAAAUAGAGUUGGGAAGAGUCAUCAAAAUAUCCACCAAUUAAAACCACAAAAAAAAAAGUGUCUUCUCACGAAGUAAGAUGAGCAUAGGGAAGAAAUCACUUCUUGGACACUGAAGUGCAGCAUCUCGGGUUCAAGCUUGUUAUUCAAGCUCUUUUUUUUUUUUUUUAUCACCCUGACCUUUUGUCUUUCUUCCAAACCGCCUCCACUCUGUGGGCCCCUAAUGUGGCAGCCCCUUAUGUGGCCUCCGCAGCUAGUGGAAUUUGAAAGGUAUACCCCAAUAGCUGGGCUAGUGGAAUUUGAAAGGUAUACCCCAACAGCUGGGCUUUUGAUGUGGGCUGCUCGCUCGGCUUUCUUACCUGCUUUUCAAGCCAGUCUCAGCUAUGUUUUUUUUUUUUUUUUUCUUCAUCAACCGAUUUUCUGUUUGUUCUUUAGGUCUCCCAGGAGAAGGGCAAAACAUGAUAAGUCUCUGCUGCCUUCUUCCAUCACGUGACAGAAAAAUCUCAGACGGAGAGGAGGCGGGAGGAUAAGAUAGAGGCGUCAGUGGAGGAAGACCGGAGAUAAUGCUCCAAGUGCCACGCCACAGAUCGUGCCCACAGAGGAAGAAAAAAACCCUCUGGACUUCAGCUAUGGCUCUGAGGGUAAAGUCCAGAGGUCUUUUCAGGAAUUUAAUCCGCAGAUUAAUGACAUUCUUUGCAAAGUGGCUUUUGCAUGAAGUCCCACCCCUAGCUGAGGAGCUACUGGCUGCUGGGGAAGAUGUGGCCCUGCAGUGCAAUCCAGUAGAUAGUCCGCGAACAUGCGGGCAGAGUGCACGGAUUGUUGCUGCUGUUUCUAAUAAAGUCUAUGAAGUUGGGAGGAGGAAACGAUGAGGCAGAUGGAGGAGGUGGAGAGAAGUGGUAGGCCUGAUCGGAAUUCAUUUUAUGCAUAUAUAAAAUUCUCAAACGUUAAGAACUUUAUUAUUUGGACUAUGGGCAGGUCAGAACAUCUGAACAAUAGUUUUCAUGACAACCAUCAGAACGGCCCCACUUGUAUCUGCCAGGAGACCUUCUCUACUGUCCUUGUCUCACAUCUGUCCGGAGCCCCCCUCCUCUGAGGUGUCACUGGUUAUAUUUGAUGCUCAGGGCCUUCGAUUGACUCCUGGGACCAUGUGGAUGCAAAACCAGAUCCUCAUUUGGAAGCGAUGCUGUGCUGUGAAGCCCACCAUGGACCAGAAGGCUGGCAGACAGGGAGACAACCUCGUCCUUAGCACUGCAGUCUGAUCUGAAAAAGCACGGAAGGUCAUUGGGGUAAUAGAUGAAAAGACGUUGUCAAUCUGAAGUAGGCGAUUCUAAUCAUAAUCUUUUCUUUAAAUCACAAUGGUCCCAAGAGAACCAGGAAAGCCGUGAGGGCCUGUGUUUCAUGCUCUCCAGCCAUCUUUGAACUUCUGUCAGUGAACGUACUUUCAUCUAGAGAAUCCAUAGAAGACGGUUGCAGAUGGAAAAAUCUAGCCCUGGGUCAUUUCAAUCGCUCACUUUGUAGAUGAUGCAAAAACCCAAUUAUACAGAUCCUUGACCUUUUUUCCUUUAGCGUUGCUUAAAGUAUUGAAAUCUCCAUCAUGAGUUAGAUUGGAGGUGUAAAAAAAGAAAGAAAAGAAAAGUCAAGCUGCCAAUCUCAAUUUCCAUUUCUCCAUUAUCCUUGCUCGCUCACCUAAUGGAACCUCCAGAGACUUCCAGAUUUUCAAAGAAAAUUGAAGAGUCAGAAGAGCACAGGAAGGAACUGGAAAUUCUGAGGGAUAGUACCAAACCAGGAAGGAGGCUGCUGGGGUCUUCACCCUCAGAAAGUGCCCACUGUCUCCUCCCAGCAAGCCUUGAUUUAGGCUGGAAUUGCAAGGAAGUAAAGAGUUUUUGUAGUUCCCAAUGAGAACGAGGAGAUCUCAAUGCUGUAACUUCAACUCUGCCCUUGACCUUCUGGAAGAGCUGUGGGAUGUUUUACUUAGCAGUUUCCUAAGUGCUAGAUAAGUUCCUGCAAGGAACUCUGACCUUUGGGAGUUAAAGCUACACCCACAGUCAACAUGAAGCAAAGCUUACAGAACCAAAGGAACGAGAGUAGAAAAG